GCCGGGGCGUCCCCCGCGGGAGCCCGCAGCCACCCGGGACGCGCAUCCAGACGUGGCGCUUCGGACCGGGCACGCUGCGCCCGGGGGCUCGGCGGACCCCGCGUAGCCGCCGCUUCGGAGCUUGUGCGGCGCGGGCUGGCCAGCGGGGCGGCCAGGGCCCGGCCCGCCUCCCCAGCGCCCGCCCGGCUUCUCCCCCUGGCGGUGGGAGCCUCGGCGGCCGCUGGCGACACUAGGCGCACUGAAGCCCGAGCCGAGCCGAGCCCGAGCCGCCGCCGCCGCCGCCGCUGCUGCGCACCGCUCCCGGGCUCCCUCCCAGCGCGCCGGCCGGGGUGUGGGGGGCGGCGGGCCGGAGGGGCGAGGGCGGGCCAGGGGGCGCACACGGGGGUUGGCGCGGAAGACAGGACCCUCAGCCUCGAGGGAGCCCCUAGGUGACCAGGCAAAAUGGCAGUUCCUUCCAGCUGGUCCUCAGAUGGGCACAUCUAUUAGCCUCUGCUCUUGUAAGAAGUUAGCUGCAGAACCCACAUGUGAAUCCUUGUAGGACUCUGGAGAAGAUCAAAUGGGAGCUUAGAUGUGGAAGCUCUUUGGAAACCAAGAAACACUCUGAAAAUGAAAAGGAUACCAACUUCAUCUCUCUUUAAGAAUACAAUAUUAGUUUAAAAGAUUGUUCAACUUAAAGCAAUCUUGUAGAGAUUGUCACCCAUGAUUGAUGCUGGGUGGAAGAGUAAACUGUUCCUGUUUCUCCAUCUUGACAGGAAGCAGAAGUUCUCCUUAGCUGAUUUUUCUUCUUGCCUUAUACUGGGUUCUUUAACACCAGAACAAAAAUAAAUAAAUAAAAGAAUCUUCCAGAAAUUCAUGAAGAGACUUCAGGUCAGGAAAGCCUGAACUUUCUCAUCCAACACCCGUUCAAGUCGGAGGAUGCUGAUUAAUUCAUGAUGGAAAGGUAUCAAUUUCACAGCCCAGACCUCUACAUUCUUGAAAUGCUCUUCUCAUGGGAGACAUUAAAUAAGCUUUGAAUUAACUGUUUCCUUCUUACUACUCUAGAAAGUAUCACGGCUGACUUUUGGUCACUCUCAUGGCUUGACUCAGAUUCAUCUUCAUGGGUUUGAAUCAUUAUUCUGGCCAAAGGGUUGUAAUAUUGGCAUUAUCCAGGUCUGAGUCACAUGUUCAUCUCAGAAUCAGAUGGAAUGUACAGGGUGUACCAUGAACAAUUCUGACAUGUGAUUUAAUCUAUGUGGGACUACAUUUUAAAUACAUUUGGGAAGGAUUGAACAAUGAAGUGGAGCCCAUCAAUAUUGGUACUGAAAAUGAGACAGACCUUGUAUUGAAGACAGCGUAACCCCCAAGAGGAAAGGAGCUUGGAGCCCUGAAUCAGAGUAGAAGACAGGCUGAAUGAAUACCAGCCUUGGACUGUUGUGUGAAUGAAAAACAAGUUUUGAGAUUUGUGUGGUUUAUUUAUUAUAGUUACUGUUAUUAUUAAAGUUUUUCACUGCUUUACUCUCAG
RNAcentral lists this long non-coding RNA (1501 nucleotides) under Homo sapiens (human). RNAcentral describes it as "PREDICTED lncRNA (TCONS_00182872)". The record is from RNAcentral. Lineage: Eukaryota; Metazoa; Chordata; Mammalia; Primates; Hominidae.